RNAcentral lists this ribosomal RNA (580 nucleotides) under Aurelia sp. 12 LGD-2017. RNAcentral describes it as "partial 16S large subunit ribosomal RNA". It matches the Rfam family "Bacterial large subunit ribosomal RNA", at positions 1818 to 2574 of the family's 2925-position model. The record is from RNAcentral. Lineage: Eukaryota; Metazoa; Cnidaria; Scyphozoa; Semaeostomeae; Ulmaridae.
GCCCCACAAAACCCUUGUGAGGUGUAACCUGCCCAAUGGUUGUAAAUAAAUUAUAAAAGCAACUCAAUGGCCGCGGUAACUCUGACCGUGAUAAAGUAGCAUAAUCACUUGUCACUUAAUUGGUGACUGGAAUGAAUGGUCAAACGAAUCCUCCUCUGUCUCUGAGAAAAUUCCGGUGAAUUUGGAAUAACAGUGAAGAUGCUGUUAAACAACUGUAAGACGAAAAGACCCUAUCGAGCUUUACUGGAAGCUUGUGAAUGUGAAAGAACAUUAACCUACAAAUUCUUAAAUACCGCAAGCUUGACAGUUUGGUUGGGGCGACCACCCCUAAAAAAGCAUCAGGGGAACUCCAAAGGUUAUUUCUAAAUGGAAAACGCCUAACUGAAAACAAACAAGUUAACCAGUUACCAUAAGUAGGACAUAUUGACCCGUUGCACCUGUCACGAAGCGCAACGACUAUGAAAAAAGUUACCGUAGGGAUAACAGGGUAAUAUUUUCGGAGAGUUCAUAUCGAUGAAAAUGUUUGCCACCUCGAUGUUGAAUUGUGAUAUCCUAGGGGUGCAGCAGCUCCUAAGGGUUG